UUUUAUAGAUGUUGAGGUUGAGUAUGGGGGCGGAGCUUGAAGAUAGAAGCAAGCCGUGCUAGCCUAGCAAUAUUUUUCAGCAGCAAGCUAUGGUCUAACGACCCUCUAACCUAGGUUGGGGCAAAAACUCCAAAAUCCAAAAUGUUGGUUAGGGUUCCUCUUCUUUUAGGCGAGCUACUUCGUUCCAAACCUUUCUCUAAUAAUAAGGUAAGCUUUCAAGCGGCCGCCCUUUAAAGGAGCGGGUGCAGUGAACUAUAAUUGUGAAAAAAUUGGAAGAUCUGGCCAAAGAAUGUGAUAGCCCUAUAGAUUCGUUCCCAUGGUUCGAUCCUUCCCAGUAAAACAUGGCGUGUUCGAAUUCUAAUUGCUUUUAUAUGAGAAAAGAGGACUACCCUCUAAGCCUAAGUAUUCGUCAAUGACCGAUAGCGUACAAGUACCAUGAGGGAAAGGUGAACAGAACCCUAUUUAGGGAGUACAAUAGAGAACCUGAGAUCCGAUGCGAACAAUCAGUCGAAAGAGUGGAGCUUAGAGCCUUUACUUUAUGUAAAGCACACUUACUCUAACGGCGUACCUUUUUCAUGAUGGGUCAGUGAGGAAAUGGGAACAGCGGCUUAAGCCAUUAGGUGUAGGCGCUUUCCAGAGGUGGAAUCUUCUAGUUCUUCCUAUUUGACCCGAAACUGAUCGAUCUAGCCAUGACCAGGUUGAAGAGAGCUCUAACAGGCCUUGGAGGACCAAACCCACGUAUGUGGAAAAAUACAGGGAUGACUUGUGGCUAGGGGUGAAAGGCCAACCAAGAUCGGAUAUAGCUGGUUUUUCGCGAAAUUUAUUUCAGUAGAGCGUAUGAUGUCGAUGGCCCGAGGUAGAGCACUCAAUGGGCUAGGGUGGCCUUAUUUCACCUUACCAACCCCAGGGAAACUCUGAAUAUAGGCCUAGAUCAUUUGUAUAGACAGACUUUUUGGGUGCUAAGAUCCAAAGUCGAGAGGGAAACAGCACAGAUCAUACGCUAAGGUCUCUAAGUAAUCACUUAGUAGAAAAGGAAGUGAUCGAGCAAUGACAACCAGGAGGUGGGCUUGGAAGCAACCAUCCUUUGAAGAAAGCGUAAUAGCUCACUGGUCUAGCUCCAUGGCACCGAAAAUAUAUCAGGGCUCAAGUGAUUCACCGAAGCAACGAGACCUUAAAAUCUGCUUUUUCAAGUCACAGUAGCAAAAUAUUCUGUCAAUCGGGGAAGGUUUUUGGUGACAAGACCUAGAGAUAUCAAAAGUGAGAAUGCUGACAUGGAUAAUGAAAAAUCCUGUGAAAAACACGAUCGCCUGCCAAUGGAAGGUUUUCUGCAUUCAGUCAAUCUACGCAGAGUGAAUCGGUCCUUAAGGAACCCCCGAAAGGGCCUAGUCUGAUGGGUACACAAAAGUGAUGAAGUUGCUUUGACUACAGAUCCAUGCCUGUCUAUUGGAGCGAAUUGGAUAAUCGGGCCAAGGGCUGCCCCCUCUUCCUAUCACUCUCUUUUUCCUAAUAUGAACCUUGAGUCAUCAAAGUCUUUUUUACUCGGCCUGGCUCGGUCGCCCUACGCGACUGGUGCUUCAAAAGGUGAAAAUCUCGGUCGUAGUUUGGUGACCUAUCUUCAGUAGGGGCCUUUAGUCUUUUGAUUAGAGUAUGGGUCACGAGAGUGCAGAGCGUACUGCCCUGCCAUAGUCACGAGUCUGUUUAUAGUCGCGACUGUUGUCAUAGUCAACAAGGUUGAAACUUCCAGGAAAAAACUUUGAAUUGGGAGGGCGAUCCUCCCGGUGAACUGACCGUACCCCAAAUCAACACAGGUGAACAAGUAGAGUAUACUAUGGCGCUUGAGAAAACCAUGUCGAAGGAACUCGACAAAAUGACCCCGUAACUUCGGGAGAAGGGGUGCUCUCUUAUCUUUUGAUUAGGAAAGUGGCACAUACCAGGGGGUGGCGACUGUUUAUUAAAAACACAGGACUCUGCUAAGUGGUAAUACGGUGUAUAGAGUCUAACACCUGCCCGGUGUUGGAAGGUCGGAAGGAGAAGUGUUAUAAGCUUUGAAUGAAAGCCCCGGUAAACGGCGGUAGUAACUCUAACUGUCCUAAGGUAGCGAAAUUCCUUAUCGCAUAAGUAGCGACCUGCACGAAUGGUGUAACGACUUCCCUACUGUCUUCGACAUGGACCCGAUGAAAUUGAAUUCUCUGUGAAGAUGCGGAGUACCAAUGGCUAAAUGGUAAGACAUAACUAUAGCUUCGCAGUGACAACCUUAAUUAAAUAUGUAGGAUAGAUGGGAGGUGGUGACACACAACGACCAAUCCUGAAAGACCACUUUUUUAUCUAAGAAUGCCUAACCGCCGCACCGAUCAUUCAGGGAGAGGCGGGACACUACAAGAAGGGUAGUUUAUCUAGGGCGGAUGCCUCCUAAAGAGUAAAGGAGGUGUGUGAAAGUAGGAUCAAGCUAAGAUUUUGCUCGUGAGUGUAAUGGUAUAAGCCUGCCUGACUGUGAGACUGUGAGACCAACUGGUUGAACAGAGAUGAAAGUCGACUAUAGUAAUCCGGGAGUCCCGUGUGGAAGGGCUCUCGCUCAACGGAUCAAAGGUACGCCAGGGAUAAUAGGAUGAUUACUCCCAAGAGCUCUUAUCGACGAAGUCAUUUGGAACCUCGAUGUCGACUCAUCACAUGCUGGGGUUAAAGAAGGUCCCUAGGGUUCGAUUGUUCACUGAUUCAAGUGGUACGUGAGUUGGCUUUAGAACAUCGUGAGAUAGUUCGGUUCUUAUCUACCAUCGGUGUAAAAGGGAGAACUGCGAGGAUCCAACCCUAGUACGAGAGGACUGGGUUGGGGUAACCUAUGGUGUACCGGUUGUUAUGCCAAUAGUAGUGCCGGGUAGCUAAGUUAGUAUGGAAGAACUGCUGUGCCACGGGAAAUCUUUCUCUAUACAAGUUCUCGGAUGAGAUUUUUGAAUAGAACUUCGAUAGGCGAGAGGUGUAAGCACCGCGAGGUGUGAAGCGAUCUCGUACUAAAUGAAACUACUUUCACUU
RNAcentral lists this ribosomal RNA (3027 nucleotides) under Capsicum annuum var. glabriusculum (American bird pepper). RNAcentral describes it as "bacterial LSU rRNA". It matches the Rfam family "Bacterial large subunit ribosomal RNA". The record is from RNAcentral. Lineage: Eukaryota; Viridiplantae; Streptophyta; Magnoliopsida; Solanales; Solanaceae.